AUAAGGCCUGCAUGGAUGGGGGGCAGUCAGCAACUAAGUGUAAUUUGCAGGUGAUCAUAGAACUCAUGGAGUGUUUACCACAAGAAAAGGCUGCUCCCUUGAGAUUGGAAACUUUCUGAGAGAAGGGAUAUGUCCCAAAUGUCUACCACCAGCACUCACUAAAAUCCUGAUGAAGGAUUAUUGUAAGAAAUACCUCUUAUUGAAGAUCUGUUUGUCUGCAUUAUAAACAGAGGCCUCCCUUUGAGAGUUCAUCUGCAAUAUCACCUUCUGAAAUGAGACACAGCUAUUUAACAGAACUGACCUAUUUGCAGGACUAAGACUGAUUUGAGAAGAUAUGGGCUGCUUGUUCCAAUCUGUGUUGUCCUUCCCAUAUUGCCAAUCUCACAUCUCUUAUCUGAAUCUCUCUAAAGCUAGUCACUUGGGCUUUAAUAUGUGAAACUUUCUAAAAAUAAAGUUUUAAAUGGGGGACUAAUAAAAACCAAAAAUAUUUUACCCCAAAAUAUACUUUUUUGACAUAUUUUGGGAUGGCUGUUCAGAGGGCCUGCAGACAGGAAUAGCCCUGAAAAGCUUUCUUUUGUGGAGUAGAUUUGCAUCUGUAGAGAAAAAUCUACAUUAGUGAAAUAAACAGCCAGACUUUUUCUGAGGUCCUCCCCUUUAUCCAGAUCUGGUAAUGAUUAACUCGACCACAGGCUGCCACUUAUUUUUUCUGAGAGCUGCUACCUGUGAGUCUUCAUCUACAUAACAAGGCUGCCUUUACUCCUUGCCUUUCUUUCUCUCUCCCUCCCUUAGCUUGUCUCCCCAUGCUCCAAUCCCCUAUUCUUCUGUAACCUCAAGAUGGUAUAAUAGAGACAACCAUCUGGCCCUUUCUUUGAGCUUUCAUAUUUUACAUGUUUCUCGUGUACAUAUGUGCAUGUUAAUACAUUUUGUAAGUCUUUUCUCCUAUUAAUCUUCCUUUUGUCAGUUGAUUUUCAGUGAACAUUCAGAGAGUGAAGGGGAAGGUUUCUUUUGGCCACUACAACAUCGACAUUUUUUUAUCCUCCAGUUUGACAAAAACUAAAACCUUUAUAACAAACUGUGGUAGCAAGCUUGUGGAAAACACUCUCAUUCAGUGUUGUUAGGAGUUAAGUUUGU
This 1131-nucleotide long non-coding RNA is filed under the name Homo sapiens (human). Its description in RNAcentral is "HSALNT0407386". Lineage: Eukaryota; Metazoa; Chordata; Mammalia; Primates; Hominidae. The record is from RNAcentral.